UACCAGCUCUCCGAGUUGUAGGGAUGAUUAUUGGGCUUAAAGCGUCCGUAGCUGGCUUAGCAAGUCUCCUGUUAAAUUCAGCGACCUAAUCGUUGAGCCGCGGGAGAUACUAUUAGGCUAGGAGGCGGGAGAGGUCGACGGUACUUUCGGGGUAGGGGUGAAAUCCUAUAAUCCCGGGAGGACCACCAGUGGCGAAGGCUGUCGACUAGAACGCGCUCGACGGUGAGGGACGAAAGCUGGGGGAGCGAACCGGAUUAGAUACCCGGGUAGUCCCAGCUGUAAACUAUGCGGGCUAGGUGUUGGGGUGGCUACGGGCCACUUCAGUGCCGCAGGGAAGCCAUUAAGCCCACCGCCUGGGGAGUACGGCCGCAAGGCUGAAACUUAAAGGAAUUGGCGGGGGAGCACCACAAGGCGUGAAGCUUGCGGUUC
This 429-nucleotide ribosomal RNA is filed under the name uncultured archaeon. RNAcentral describes it as "bacterial SSU rRNA". It matches the Rfam family "Archaeal small subunit ribosomal RNA", at positions 474 to 903 of the family's 1478-position model. The record is from RNAcentral.